This is a non-coding RNA of Ictidomys tridecemlineatus (thirteen-lined ground squirrel), 1418 nucleotides long. The record is from RefSeq and is a predicted model, not a curated record. Lineage: Eukaryota; Metazoa; Chordata; Mammalia; Rodentia; Sciuridae.
CCCUAGCAUGCAAGCCACUGGGGGGCAGCAGAGGGCCGUGUUCCUGAGCAGGCAGCCGGCAGCGCUGUCCUGAAUUUCCACUCUCAUUCAUCUUUGCCCCUCUUGGUGUCUGGAUAUCUGGUUGGAGCAAUUCCUUGUCUGAUCCAGUCUGUAGUUCUCUGGAUUUCUCCUUUUACCUCAAUCUAGUCUGUUUUUCAGUAGACUUGUCCCGUUUUGUUUCUCCAUUCAUUCUUGAUGUACCUACCUUCUGUGUUCUGGGCACUAGAAUACAGAAUGUGAAUGUGACUAGAAUGGGACCAGGAAACACAUUUGACUGAGUCCUGUAAACCCCUGCUAGGCUAGUUGUGAAGGCUAUGUGACUUAUAGGAAAGGCACGUGUAGAAGAUCAAGUCCCACUGUGCCCAGCCAUGCCUGAUGGCAUCGCUGACCCAGCUCUAUGACACUGAGCGUGUCAUCUCUCACAAGUUUGAACUCUGGAACAUCCAAGCUCCGGACACUGCCUACUUCCUGCCUGCAUGUGCUCUCAUCAGCGUCCAGCAGUGGCCACGUUGUAGGACUCUCUAAAGUGCCCACUGUGUGCCAGACCUGGAUCCAGGUGCUGACCGAGGCAACGGAGGACCUGCCCUGAUGACAGCUGGAUUCUAGACUGAUGAGGACAACACCAAGUGCAGGAAUGUCUGCUAAUGCCUUCUUCAGAGGAAGAUGUAUCAUGAGCUUGGUUGUGUCAUGCUUUCCAGUCUCCACUUGCAGCUAAUCUUCAAAGCUUCCUCUGAUGCUUUUCCUGCAAAGAGAAUUUUAAGGAAGGAGCACACUUGGUUUGAUUGUGCAGAGCACGGAGCAUGUGCUUCAGCAGGGGGAAGAGGAGACGGCUUCCGGAGAGCAUCCAGCCAGGUAGAACAGGACACAAGAGGACAUGGCCGAGCGUCACUGGCCUGGUGACUUCCUGAUGCACACACUUGUUAAUCAUAUGUGUGUUCCUUCAUGAGGUGGCAUUUGUGUAGCCCCCAGGAACACUGAGGCAAAGGGACAUCUCAUAUUUUCUGUCUUGAAGAAUUCAAAAUCUGCCUGCAGAAAUAGCAGGUAAAUAGAUAAUUAUGAAUUCUGCUGGAUAACAUUUUUUAAAAAUUUAGCAUUUAUGUAAAAUUUGAUUAGGUUGCUUUGGGAAAUUUAUUUUGCAUCUUUGUGCCUCAGUUUGCUUUACUGCAGCAAUGGAGAAAACAGUAGUGGCUAUUUCAAAAGAUUCUUAUUAACAUUAAACAAGAUAAUACAAAUGAAACUUUGGACUGACUUUAAUACAUGGCUGGGGCAAAAGGACUAUGAUGAUUAUUAUUGAUGGUUUGUUCUCUCUCACUCACACACACGCUCCAGAAGUCUAGAAUUAUAGAAGAUAUGAAAGAGCAACUUCAUGGUAACCAUUU